Molecule: ribosomal RNA, 468 nt
Filed under: uncultured bacterium
Lineage: Bacteria
Description: partial 16S ribosomal RNA
Rfam family: Bacterial small subunit ribosomal RNA
Source: RNAcentral
GACGAACGCUGGCGGCGUGCUUAACACAUGCAAGUCGAACGGAAAGGCCCUGCUUUUGUGGUGUUCUCGAGUGUCGAACGGGUGAGUAACACGUGUGUAUCCUGCCCUUGACUUUGGGAUAACUUCUGGAAACUGGGGCUAAUACCGCAUAUGAGCUCCUGCUGCAUGGUGUUUGUUGGAAAGUUUCGGCGGUUGGGGCUGGACGCGCGGCUUAUCAGCUUGUUGGUGGGGUAGUGUCUUACCAAGGCUUUGACGGGUAGCCGGCCUGAGCGGGUGAACGGCGACAUUGGGACUGAGAGACGGCCCAGAAUCCUACGGGAGGCAGUAGUGGGGAAUAUUACACAAUGGGCGGAAGCGUGAUGCAGCAACGCCGCGUGCGGGAUGACGGCCUUCGGGUUGUAAACCGCUGUCGCCUGUGACGAAGCGUGAGUGACGGUAAUGGGUAAAGAAGCACCGGCUAACUACGUG